GAACGAAAGUUAAGACAUAUUGGUUUCGGCCCAAUUAUAGAGAAUAAAUUCUCUUCGUUCU
This 61-nucleotide transfer RNA is filed under the name Glycera cf. tridactyla FS19. RNAcentral describes it as "tRNA-Arg". Lineage: Eukaryota; Metazoa; Annelida; Polychaeta; Phyllodocida; Glyceridae. The record is from RNAcentral.